GCGCGGUGGCUCACGCCUGUGGUCCCAGCACUUUGGGAGGCCGAGGCGGGCGGAUCACGAGGUCAGGAGAUCGAGACCAUCCUGGCUAACACGGUGAAACCCCGUCUCUACUAAAAAUACAAAAAAUUAGCCGGGCGUGGUGGCGGGCGCCUGUGGUCCCAGCUACUCGGGAGGCUGAGGCAGGAGAAUGGCGUGAACCCGGGAGGCGGAGCUUGCAGUGAGCCGAGAUCGCGCCACUGCACUCCAGCCUGGGCGACAGAGCGAGACUCCGUCUCAA
RNAcentral lists this long non-coding RNA (277 nucleotides) under Homo sapiens (human). RNAcentral describes it as "LHRI_LNC542.1". The record is from RNAcentral. Lineage: Eukaryota; Metazoa; Chordata; Mammalia; Primates; Hominidae.